This 232-nucleotide unclassified non-coding RNA is filed under the name Hevea brasiliensis (rubber tree). The record is from RNAcentral. Lineage: Eukaryota; Viridiplantae; Streptophyta; Magnoliopsida; Malpighiales; Euphorbiaceae.
GCAGUUUCCUCAUCUGCAGUCGCAGAGUGCUCAUUAUCCAUUAAUCUCUGACACUGGUGGUACAAAUCAGGAUGCACAAGUUCUGUGGAAAUCUUAAGCUUAGAAAGGUAAGAACAACUCAGUUUAGAAUUAUCAUCCAUUGACCGUCUAAGAGGAGUUGGUGUUUCAGAGAAGAGCUCUGGAGUGUUGGGGCUUUCUUUUGCAGAAGGGAUAUUAGGCCUUAUUUCAGCAG